GCAUUAAUGGGGUAGUGGUAACCUGGGUCGUUGCCAUCUCGAGGUGUAAUGUACUUCGACCCGCCGGGGGUUCGAUUCCCUCUUAAUGCA
Molecule: non-coding RNA, 90 nt
Organism: Mycena metata
Lineage: Eukaryota; Fungi; Basidiomycota; Agaricomycetes; Agaricales; Mycenaceae
Source: the annotation of a GenBank genome assembly